Non-coding RNA from Salvelinus sp. IW2-2015, 232 nucleotides. Lineage: Eukaryota; Metazoa; Chordata; Actinopteri; Salmoniformes; Salmonidae. The record is from RefSeq and is a predicted model, not a curated record.
GUUAUUGGCGCUGAUAUUUCUACAGCAGUAUGGAUGGAAGCGAGGAAGCAGGAGAGUUGGACUUCAGUGCCUUGUUGAAGAAAAGAGACAGUUGUUUUAAAGGUUCACCAGGUCAUCGUGCCUCUAAGUCCCAGGUCAAAAGUGAGCCUGAUGAGGAUGUAUGGGAAAUCCUCCAGAAGGCUCCAGCCAGUGAGUAUGAGAAGAUUGCCUUCCAGUAUGGCAUCACAGACCU